UAGUCCCACUCAUUUGAGACCUAGUGACUCACAUCACUAAUUCCUCACUAUGGGAAUUAGCUACCACCCCAAGGGCCAUGCUAUGCACGCUAACUCACCUAGCAUGCAAACAUCAACAACAGUCCAAAAUGACUAACAUCACUAAUUCCUCACCACGGGAAUUAGCUACCACCAUAAAGGCCACAAUAUGCAUGCUAAUCACCUAGCAAUGCAACAUCCACAACAAUUCAAG
Molecule: long non-coding RNA, 232 nt
Filed under: Lathyrus oleraceus (garden pea)
Lineage: Eukaryota; Viridiplantae; Streptophyta; Magnoliopsida; Fabales; Fabaceae
Description: Pisum sativum (pea) long non-coding RNA (PSAT_LNC024756)
Source: RNAcentral